RNAcentral lists this ribosomal RNA (486 nucleotides) under uncultured bacterium. RNAcentral describes it as "partial 16S ribosomal RNA". It matches the Rfam family "Bacterial small subunit ribosomal RNA", at positions 30 to 507 of the family's 1533-position model. The record is from RNAcentral.
AUUGAACGCUGGCGGCAUGCCUUACACAUGCAAGUCGAACGGCAGCACGGGUGCUUGCCUCUGGUGGCGAGUGGCGAACGGGUGAGUAAUACAUCGGAACAUGUCCUGUAGUGGGGGAUAGCCAGGCGAAAGCCGGAGUAAUACCGCAUACGAACUACGGAUGAAAGAGGGGGACCUUCGGGCCUCGCGCUAUAGGGUUGGCCGAUGGCUGAUUAGCUAGUUGGUGGGGUAACGGCCUACCAAGGCGACGAUCAGUAGCUGGUCUGAGAGGACGACCAGCCACACUGGGACUGAGACACGGCCCAGACUCCUACGGGAGGCAGCAGUGGGGAAUUUUGGACAAUGGGCGAAAGCCUGAUCCAGCAAUGCCGCGUGUGUGAAGAAGGCCUUCGGGUUGUAAAGCACUUUUGUCCGGAAAGAAAUCCUUGGCCCUAAUACGGUCGGGGGAUGACGGUACCGGAAGAAUAAGCACCGGCUAACUACGUG